UAGGGAGGGGGACCUGGGAAUCCUGCUUCACUUUAUGUCACAGGCCCGUUUAUAUCUGUUCAUGACAGAAACAGCUGGAACACCAGAAGCAGGAGAUUGCAUCUGAAUUCAAGCAAGUGCGCCAGGUUUUGAAGCAGGGAGAGCAGCUCCUGUGUAACCACCUGGAAGGCACAAUACAGGACCUUGGGAAGACGAGGAAUAAAAAUACUAAGGGGCUAUUACUUCUCGAUCACUGCAUAGCUGAGAUAAAUCAGAAGUGCCAGCAGCCGGUGAAUGAACUCCUCAAGGUGUGAGCAGGUGAAAGGGGAAGAGGAGGCGCCUGUUGAUUCUUUGACUGAAGUGAAGAGCAGAGUGCAGGCUCUCUCGGAAAGCCGGAAAGUUCUGUGUGAUCUGCUGAACAAUCUCAGAGUGAAAUUGGGUCCUCUUGAAAACGUCUCGUCUGAGGUUCAGAGACAAGUGAGUGGUGAAGACCCAACGGAGGAUGUUCCCGAGAACCUUAAACAAGAGGACACUUCUGUUUGCCUGCUGGACUAUGAGGUAUUGUAUUCUGUGGCCGUUCGGGGAGCUGGGUGCCAGGAAUGGGCGUUAGUGGUCGUCAGAAAGUCUAGAGCAGAUCCGCAGUAGGUGUAAAUGGGCGUAACUCAAUUGAAGACAAAUGGAUUGAAGUCAGUGACGCUUCUGUGGUCUACACCAGUUGAGGAUCUGGCCCUUUGAGUCCACUAGGGAUGUUACUAGUGUAAAUCGAUUCUCUGUGGAGGGUGAUAAGGUGCUACAUGUGGAAUCUAACUAUGUCAAUGAAAUGUUUGCGGUAGGGCUGAGUGAAAGUCAGUAUUUCUGUUUGAUAGUUCCACAUUUGUUUCCAUCUUGAAUCAGGAUGAAAAGUCAACAUAUCCAUUUUUUUUUUUCACUGAAUGGAAAGUUCUGAAAAAUUUUGAUUUGGAAAUGUCCAAACGUUUAAUUUCCAGUGAGUUUUGACAUUAAACUGCAUCUACCUUUGAUGACUGCAGUGCCUCAUGGGAACUGUAGUUGGGUGCUUCAUGCCCCCAUUCUCCCUUAUGGGCCUGGUCCCCAUUUUGGACUACAUCUCAUGAUGCAUCUCAGUCGAAGGUGGGAAUGCAGUGCAUCGUGGGAGAUGUAGUCCACCCAUGUGCCUGGCCUACAGGGGAGAAUGUGGACAUGAGGCAACUGAACUACAACUCCCAUGAGGCAUUGGAGCAUGUGAGGCAGAUGCAGUUUAAUG
RNAcentral lists this long non-coding RNA (1240 nucleotides) under Chrysemys picta bellii (western painted turtle). RNAcentral's name for it is "lncRNA (ENSCPBG00000003571.1)". The record is from RNAcentral. Lineage: Eukaryota; Metazoa; Chordata; Testudines; Emydidae.